This 29-nucleotide non-coding RNA is filed under the name Homo sapiens (human). The record is from RNAcentral. Lineage: Eukaryota; Metazoa; Chordata; Mammalia; Primates; Hominidae.
GGCUGCUGUGACGGCACAUGAAGGCCUCU